GGAGAGGUGGCCGAGUGGUUUAAGGCGUACGCUUGGAAAGCGUAUGGGCGAAAGCCCUCGCAGGUUCGAAUCCUGUCCUCUCCG
RNAcentral lists this transfer RNA (84 nucleotides) under bacterium. RNAcentral's name for it is "tRNA-Ser". It matches the Rfam family "tRNA". Rfam says of the family: Transfer RNA (tRNA) molecules are approximately 80 nucleotides in length. Their secondary structure includes four short double-helical elements and three loops (D, anti-codon, and T loops). The record is from RNAcentral.